UACGUAGGGGGCAAGCGUUGUCCGGAAUCAUUGGGCGUAAAGAGCGUGUAGGCGGCCCGAUAAGUCCGCUGUGAAAGUCCAGGGCUCAACCCUGGGAUGCCGGUGGAUACUGUCGGGCUCGAGUCCGGAAGAGGAGUGUGGAAUUCCUGGUGUAGCGGUGAAAUGCGCAGAUAUCAGGAGGAACACCGGUGGCGAAGGCGGGUCUCUGGGCCGAUACUGACACUGAGGAGCGAAAGCGUGGGGAGCGAACAGG
This 253-nucleotide ribosomal RNA is filed under the name uncultured bacterium. RNAcentral describes it as "partial 16S ribosomal RNA". It matches the Rfam family "Bacterial small subunit ribosomal RNA", at positions 524 to 776 of the family's 1533-position model. The record is from RNAcentral.